ACCUUUAGAAGCGAUUCCUUCCAAAUGAAGCAAAGCAGGUCAGUGUGAGAAAAAGUGCCAAAGAGAUUUACUGAAACCAACAUAGAAAUGGCCCUUUUUAGAUCCCAAAGUUGCUUCUGAUCCUUUUCUGAAAAGGAGAACACUGAAGACUGCUUGAAGACCGUUUUUGAGAAAUUACUCCUAACAGGAGAAAACUAAGUGCCUUCAUCAUUCUGAUCUGUAAAUGAAGAUGUCCUACUUCUGUUGCCAGUUGGUGGAGGUGAUUUGGAAAGGACCUACACAGAGAUCAUAUAAUAAUCUUCAACAAGUAUCAGUCCAAGACACCUGUAAUUGCAAUAGCAUUUUUUUCUGUCAGCAAUUAGAAACAGAUGUGUUCCUCAGCCUGUGAGGGGCAGAGUGCAGCUAUUCUCAAUCUGACAGAUGACAUCAGUAAACCAACCAUUCAUUUGAAAGAAGGAGGACUACAAACACCUCUUCAGAAAAAGCGUCACACCUGAGAAAUUUUACAUCCAGAUUUAAAUAGUCUUAGGUUAGUAAAUUUAGUCUCAGACACUGCAAGCCAAAGUACAAAUGUCAAGUUCUAUGUCACAAAGCAAGAGACAUGAAUAGAGCAGAGAGGGCAUAGUGAGUGAAACCCCUCUACAACAGAGUAUAGGAAGAAAAGAGCAAAAUUAAUGCAAACACAAGUUUCACAAAACUAAGAAAUUAAAAGUGUUAGGAAAAUUUGGUUUGAAAAUGUUUCAACAGAAAGUAAUCCAUUUUAAGGAUCUGAAUUACUAAAAGCAAAGUAACAAAACCAUAUCUCAACACUUUCUGCAAGACUCAGGUACAUUACAGGGCUCAAAACCUUCUCGUUCCUUCCUCGUUUACAGAAUCUGUUUUCAAAUAACACAUGAAGAGAAGACUAACCUAUUUUACUUCUAAGAUUAAAUUCAACUAUAAUUUCCCCCUAGUGUUACUUGAGAGCGACUGAAAAAUAAGAAGUACUCCAAGACAACUAUUUUACACAAAAAUAAAACAACAGAUGUUGUAAUUUUAUGCUUCUGCCUUUCUAUUCGUGUCAACCCUUGAAUGAUGUGAUC
Long non-coding RNA from Neopelma chrysocephalum (saffron-crested tyrant-manakin), 1082 nucleotides. RefSeq lists it as uncharacterized. The record is from RefSeq and is a predicted model, not a curated record. Lineage: Eukaryota; Metazoa; Chordata; Aves; Passeriformes; Pipridae. The transcript is spliced from 3 exons.